CAUAACGAUAUAUAAUCAAGUUGCAAAACACUUGAAGAAAUUGAGAAUAGGAAUAAAACAAUCACACGUUGGAAAAAGGGUUUAGUUUCAAUUUCUAUCUCCCCCUCUUUUCCUCGUGUUUGUUAUUUGCCUCCUUGAUUUCCGCA
This is a non-coding RNA of Caenorhabditis elegans, 146 nucleotides long. NCBI's taxonomy places the organism in Eukaryota, Metazoa, Nematoda, Chromadorea, Rhabditida, Rhabditidae. The record is from Ensembl.